Molecule: long non-coding RNA, 331 nt
Organism: Dermochelys coriacea (leatherback sea turtle)
Lineage: Eukaryota; Metazoa; Chordata; Testudines; Dermochelyidae
Exons: 3
Source: RefSeq, a predicted model, not a curated record
UACUGCUUUCUACAUCCCACUGAGAAGACUGUCCAUCAUCCCUAGGGAGGGGGAGGAUUCAAUUCAUUCAUGCAAAAUUGAAGAAGAACGGGGGCAUUCUGUUCUAUAACAUGCUACCAAACACUGCUGAGAAGGGGUGAGGAUGUUAACCCCAGAGUGUUUGAGAAAGUGUGGAUGGAAGACCGUCUAGCAGCCUUAAAGACCUCCUCAUAAAAUGUGUGUGAUCUCUUUGCACACAAUCACCACCAUUCUUUUCACCACCCAUUCCUAUUAUAUAAAGAAGAAGGUAGUGACCUCAGGGAUGGAGACAUAGAUAAUUCCUUGAGCUAUC